This 253-nucleotide ribosomal RNA is filed under the name uncultured bacterium. RNAcentral's name for it is "partial 16S ribosomal RNA". It matches the Rfam family "Bacterial small subunit ribosomal RNA", at positions 524 to 776 of the family's 1533-position model. The record is from RNAcentral.
UACGUAGGGUCCGAGCGUUGUCCGGAAUUAUUGGGCGUAAAGGGCUCGUAGGCGGUCUGUUGCGUCGGGAGUGAAAACUUACAGCUUAACUGUGAGCGUGCUUUCGAUACGGGCAGACUAGAGGUAUGCAGGGGAGAACGGAAUUCCUGGUGUAGCGGUGAAAUGCGCAGAUAUCAGGAGGAACACCGGUGGCGAAGGCGGUUCUCUGGGCAUUACCUGACGCUGAGGAGCGAAAGUGUGGGGAGCGAACAGG